CUACGGGACGCACCAGUGGGGAAUUUUGGACAAUGGGGGAAACCCUGAUCCAGCCAUGCCGCGUGAGUGAAGAAGGCCUUCGGGUUGUAAAGCUCUUUCGGACAGAAAGAAAUCUUCUGGGCUAAUACCCCGGGAGGAUGACGGUACUGUAAGAAGAAGCACCGGCUAACUACGUGCCAGCAGCCGCGGUAAUACGUAGGGUGCGAGCGUUAAUCGGAAUUACUGGGCGUAAAGCGUGCGCAGGUGGGUGUGUAAGACAGGUGUGAAAUCCCCGGGCUUAACCUGGGAACUGCGUUUGUGACUGCACGGCUAGAGUACGGCAGAGGGGGGUGGAAUUCCUGGUGUAGCAGUGGAAUGCGUAGAUAUCAGGAGGAACAUCGAUGGCGAAGGCAGCCCCCUGGGCCUGUACUGACACUCAUGCACGAAAGCGUGGGGAGCAAACAGGAUUAGAUACCCCGGUAGUC
This 464-nucleotide ribosomal RNA is filed under the name uncultured bacterium. RNAcentral's name for it is "partial 16S ribosomal RNA". It matches the Rfam family "Bacterial small subunit ribosomal RNA", at positions 339 to 795 of the family's 1533-position model. The record is from RNAcentral.